Paramisgurnus dabryanus is the source of this 685-nucleotide long non-coding RNA. RefSeq lists it as uncharacterized. NCBI's taxonomy places the organism in Eukaryota, Metazoa, Chordata, Actinopteri, Cypriniformes, Cobitidae. The record is from RefSeq and is a predicted model, not a curated record.
CAUUUGCAGAAGCUGAAUGGCACACAGAACGCUGGUUACGUGAAACUUGUUUGUUAUGUUGAAGAUCGUCUCUAGAUCUCGUCGCGUGAGAGAGUUCAGUACUCUGCCAUCUACCAGUUGGUUGUGAAAGACCUUCCUCGAUAGCAAGGCGGAGUUUUCUGCGAUGCAUGGGGCUAUUGACACCCAAACCCAGCUCUAGAUCAUCAUCAGUCAGGCCCAGUAACACCUGCAACAGGAAGCAGAUCACAGUGACAUCAUCAGCACACAAACUGGACACAUCACAGUUUUAUAAGUUUAGUGCUGUGUGCAAAUGUCUGUUUGACUAGGUAAUCAUUAACUUGGUAAAUAUCAGGAGGACAAAUUGAAAGCACGAAUGUACAUGGGCAUUGCCAUGACAACUUCCAACCAGGCCUGAACAGUGACCGCCUUCCACAAAGACAUGGGCUUGGUGCGGGUAAGCUCCGCCUGCUGCAGCCGCUCCAGCUGCUCCUCACCGUCUGAUUGGCCGGGAUGUGUCUGGCUGGAGAGGCUGUCCGAGUCUGGAUUGGUCAGACAAGAUGAUCUAUGGAGCAUUCUCAAAACAUGCUGGGAUAACACGGAUCAUCCGGCUUCACACAAACAUGUUGAGUCCAUGCAACUGGGGGUGCAUGCUGUCAUUCAAGCAAAAAGGGGGACAUACCAAAUC